GAAGAGAAUCAACCCUGAAGUCUGGCAUUGGGAAGAAUAAUUUGGAAGGGCAAAAAAUGCCUGCCUAGUUCAAAGCAGGCUAAAAGAACCCACCACUUUUCCUUAUCAAAGGCAAUAUCCCUUAAGGCCUGAAGCCCAUAGUAGCAGCCAAGUCUAGGCAUAGAAUAUCACAGUAUGUAGUAGCUAAUGUUGAACAUAGUACUACAGAGGAGAGAUUUCCUUUUAUGCUUCCUACCCUCCUUCACUAUCAUACAUAUACAUGCUAACACGUA
Molecule: long non-coding RNA, 272 nt
Filed under: Pan troglodytes (chimpanzee)
Lineage: Eukaryota; Metazoa; Chordata; Mammalia; Primates; Hominidae
Description: long non-coding RNA NONPTRT006859
Source: RNAcentral